AUGACGUCAAGUCCGCAUGCUCCUUACGUCUAGGGCUACACACGUCCUACAAUGGGGUCGACAGUGGGAUGCAAAGCCGCGAGGUGGAGCCAAUCCCCAAACGGCCUCUCAGUUCGGAUAGUAGUCUGCAACUCGACUACUUGAAGUCGGAAUCGCUAGUAAUGGCGGAUCAGCAUGCCGCCGUGAAUACGUUCCCGGGUCCUU
RNAcentral lists this ribosomal RNA (204 nucleotides) under uncultured bacterium. RNAcentral's name for it is "partial 16S ribosomal RNA". It matches the Rfam family "Bacterial small subunit ribosomal RNA", at positions 1179 to 1382 of the family's 1533-position model. The record is from RNAcentral.